RNAcentral lists this ribosomal RNA (731 nucleotides) under uncultured Bacteroidales bacterium. RNAcentral's name for it is "bacterial SSU rRNA". It matches the Rfam family "Bacterial small subunit ribosomal RNA", at positions 577 to 1314 of the family's 1533-position model. Lineage: Bacteria; Pseudomonadati; Bacteroidota; Bacteroidia; Bacteroidales. The record is from RNAcentral.
UGACGUAUAAGUCAGCUGUGAAAGUUUACGGCUCAACCGUGAAAUUGCAGUUGAUACUGUAUGUCUUGAGUGUACAAGAGGUGGGCGGAAUUCGUGGUGUAGCGGUGAAAUGCUUAGAUAUCACGAAGAACUCCAAUUGCGAAGGCAGCUCACUGGGGUACAACUGACACUGAGGCUCGAAAGUGUGGGUAUCAAACAGGAUUAGAUACCCUGGUAGUCCACACAGUAAACGAUGAAUACUCGCUGUUUGCGAUAUACAGUAAGCGGCCAAGCGAAAGCAUUAAGUAUUCCACCUGGGGAGUACGCCGGCAACGGUGAAACUCAAAGGAAUUGACGGGGGCCCGCACAAGCGGAGGAACAUGUGGUUUAAUUCGAUGAUACGCGAGGAACCUUACCCGGGCUUGAAUUGCAGAGGAACAUAGUUGAAAGAUUAUGGCCGCAAGGUCUCUGUGAAGGUGCUGCAUGGUUGUCGUCAGCUCGUGCCGUGAGGUGUCGGCUUAAGUGCCAUAACGAGCGCAACCCUUAUCAUUAGUUACUAACAGGUCAUGCUGAGGACUCUAGUGAGACUGCCGUCGUAAGAUGUGAGGAAGGUGGGGAUGACGUCAAAUCAGCACGGCCCUUACGUCCGGGGCUACACACGUGUUACAAUGGGGGGUACAGAGGGCAGCUACCGGGCGACCGGAUGCCAAUCCCAAAAACCUCUCUCAGUUCGGAUCGAAGUCUGCAACCCG